GAUGAUUAUUAAAUAGGGUGUUCUGGUUUCUGUUAUUUUCUUCUCGCUUUGGGGUUGUGUAUGUGAUAAACUGGAUUUAACACUUUCUGAACUGAGAGUGAACCUAGAAAUUCUUGGCUAGGAUGUUUGGGAUGAUUUUAUAAGAGAAAGAGGAAGGAGAGAGAAGUAAAAUAAAGUAGGUGUGAUGACGAAAAGAAAACUGUGAAUGAGGGUGGUGCGUUAUAGGUCCUAUGUCUUAAAUGAAGUGAGGGAAAAAAAUAUAAGUUGGGGUGCUUAGCUUCGAGUUAGUGGGGAAAAAGCUUUGGUCGAGAAUAAGGUGUGAUUGUGUUAAAAAUAUAUAAGAUAGAGAGUGGUGGUAGUAAAGGCUACGUAAAUUUAGAGAGAGGAAGGAAUGAGUUGAGGUUUGGAAGAGUAAACUAGUGUGUGGGUGCUCUUGAAUGUUGGCCUUAUGGAGAGUGACGUGAAGUUUGGGGUACAUGCAGAGGUUUCACAAUUGUUUUAUCUGCUACGUGAAUAAGAAAAAAGAAAGAGAUAAUUAAUGAAUGACAGAGAUAAUUAAUGAAUGACAUAUCAGCAUAAAUGGUAGAAAGCCAGGAAUAUUAUUCUUUAGUUAUUUUAGGUUAGUAGAAGGUUAAUGGGUGAGAGAGAGAAAUUGUUUGGAUGAUGUGAAAUAAAACAUACGUGUGCAUGAGGGAAUAAGUUAGGUCUUAAGUAU
This 715-nucleotide long non-coding RNA is filed under the name Vigna radiata. Its description in RNAcentral is "long non-coding RNA (VRAD_LNC016976)". Lineage: Eukaryota; Viridiplantae; Streptophyta; Magnoliopsida; Fabales; Fabaceae. The record is from RNAcentral.